CCUUUUUGGCACUAGCACAUUUUGCUGUCUUUUUAUAUCAGCGAAAGUAUGCUAGUGGCAAGCAGGACGUCAUCGACCUUUCAUCCGG
Molecule: non-coding RNA, 88 nt
Organism: Saccoglossus kowalevskii
Lineage: Eukaryota; Metazoa; Hemichordata; Enteropneusta; Harrimaniidae
Source: RefSeq, marked provisional